This 2891-nucleotide ribosomal RNA is filed under the name Vibrio parahaemolyticus. RNAcentral's name for it is "23S ribosomal RNA". It matches the Rfam family "Bacterial large subunit ribosomal RNA". Lineage: Bacteria; Pseudomonadati; Pseudomonadota; Gammaproteobacteria; Vibrionales; Vibrionaceae. The record is from RNAcentral.
GGUUAAGUGACUAAGCGUACACGGUGGAUGCCUUGGCAGUCAGAGGCGAUGAAAGACGUAGUAACUUGCGAUAAGCCCAGAUUAGGUAGUAACAACCAUUUGAGUCUGGGAUUUCUGAAUGGGGAAACCCACGUGCAUAAGCACGUAUCCUUACCUGAAUACAUAGGGUAAGGAGGCGAACCGGGGGAACUGAAACAUCUAAGUACCCCGAGGAAAAGAAAUCAACCGAGAUUCCGAAAGUAGCGGCGAGCGAAAUUGGACUAGCCCUUAAGCUUUACACGCGUUAGACGAACGGUCUGGAAAGUCCGACGAUACAGGGUGAUAGUCCCGUAGUUGACGACGUGUGUUCAGUGAAAUCGAGUAGGGCGGGACACGUGAUAUCCUGUCUGAAUAUGGGGGGACCAUCCUCCAAGGCUAAAUACUACUGACUGACCGAUAGUGAACCAGUACCGUGAGGGAAAGGCGAAAAGAACCCCUGUGAGGGGAGUGAAAUAGAACCUGAAACCGUGUACGUACAAGCAGUAGGAGCAGGCUUUGUCCUGUGACUGCGUACCUUUUGUAUAAUGGGUCAGCGACUUAUAUUCAGUGGCAAGGUUAACCAUCUAGGGGAGCCGUAGGGAAACCGAGUCUUAACUGGGCGUUCAGUCUCUGGAUAUAGACCCGAAACCAGGUGAUCUAGCCAUGGGCAGGUUGAAGGUUGAGUAACAUCAACUGGAGGACCGAACCGACUAAUGUUGAAAAAUUAGCGGAUGACUUGUGGCUAGGGGUGAAAGGCCAAUCAAACCUGGAGAUAGCUGGUUCUCCCCGAAAGCUAUUUAGGUAGCGCCUCGGACGAAUACUACUGGGGGUAGAGCACUGUUAAGGCUAGGGGGUCAUCCCGACUUACCAACCCUUUGCAAACUCCGAAUACCAGUAAGUACUAUCCGGGAGACACACGGCGGGUGCUAACGUCCGUCGUGGAGAGGGAAACAACCCAGACCGCCAGCUAAGGUCCCAAAUUACUACUAAGUGGGAAACGAUGUGGGAAGGCUCAGACAGCCAGGAUGUUGGCUUAGAAGCAGCCAUCAUUUAAAGAAAGCGUAAUAGCUCACUGGUCGAGUCGGCCUGCGCGGAAGAUGUAACGGGGCUAAGUAGUAAACCGAAGCUGCGGCAAUAUACUUUUGUAUAUUGGGUAGGGGAGCGUUCUGUAAGCGGUUGAAGGUGUGUGGUAACGCAUGCUGGACGUAUCAGAAGUGCGAAUGCUGACAUGAGUAACGAUAAAGGGGGUGAAAAACCUCCUCGCCGGAAGACCAAGGGUUCCUGUCCAACGUUAAUCGGGGCAGGGUAAGUCGACCCCUAAGGCGAGGCCGAAAGGCGUAGUCGAUGGGAAACGGGUUAAUAUUCCCGUACUUCUUACAAUUGCGAUGGGGGGACGGAGAAGGCUAGGUGGGCCUGGCGACGGUUGUCCAGGUUCAAGUGCGUAGGCUUAAGAGUUAGGUAAAUCCGGCUCUUUUUAAGGCUGAGACACGACGUCGAGCUACUACGGUAGUGAAGUCAUUGAUGCCAUGCUUCCAGGAAAAGCCUCUAAGCUUCAGAUUGUAAGGAAUCGUACCCCAAACCGACACAGGUGGUCGGGUAGAGAAUACCAAGGCGCUUGAGAGAACUCGGGUGAAGGAACUAGGCAAAAUGGUACCGUAACUUCGGGAGAAGGUACGCUCUCGACGGUGAAGUCCCUUGCGGAUGGAGCUAUUGAGAGUCGCAGAUACCAGGUGGCUGCAACUGUUUAUUAAAAACACAGCACUGUGCAAAAUCGUAAGAUGACGUAUACGGUGUGACGCCUGCCCGGUGCCGGAAGGUUAAUUGAUGGGGUUAGACUUCGGUCGAAGCUCUUGAUCGAAGCCCCGGUAAACGGCGGCCGUAACUAUAACGGUCCUAAGGUAGCGAAAUUCCUUGUCGGGUAAGUUCCGACCUGCACGAAUGGCGUAAUGAUGGCCACGCUGUCUCCACCCGAGACUCAGUGAAAUUGAAAUCGCUGUGAAGAUGCAGUGUACCCGCGGCUAGACGGAAAGACCCCGUGAACCUUUACUACAGCUUGGCACUGAACAUUGACCCUACAUGUGUAGGAUAGGUGGGAGGCUUUGAAGCACGUACGCCAGUAUGUGUGGAGCCGUCCUUGAAAUACCACCCUUGUAGUGUUGAUGUUCUAACGUCGACCCCUUAUCGGGGUUGCGGACAGUGCCUGGUGGGUAGUUUGACUGGGGCGGUCUCCUCCCAAAGAGUAACGGAGGAGCACGAAGGUGGGCUAAUCACGGUUGGACAUCGUGAGGUUAGUGCAAUGGCAUAAGCCCGCUUGACUGCGAGAAUGACAAUUCGAGCAGGUGCGAAAGCAGGUCAUAGUGAUCCGGUGGUUCUGAAUGGAAGGGCCAUCGCUCAACGGAUAAAAGGUACUCCGGGGAUAACAGGCUGAUACCGCCCAAGAGUUCAUAUCGACGGCGGUGUUUGGCACCUCGAUGUCGGCUCAUCACAUCCUGGGGCUGAAGUCGGUCCCAAGGGUAUGGCUGUUCGCCAUUUAAAGUGGUACGCGAGCUGGGUUUAGAACGUCGUGAGACAGUUCGGUCCCUAUCUGCCGUGGGCGUUGGAAGAUUGAAGGGGGCUGCUCCUAGUACGAGAGGACCGGAGUGGACGAACCUCUGGUGUUCGGGUUGUGUCGCCAGACGCAUUGCCCGGUAGCUAAGUUCGGAAUCGAUAACCGCUGAAAGCAUCUAAGCGGGAAGCGAGCCCUGAGAUGAGUCUUCCCUGAUACUUUAAGUAUCCUAAAGGGUUGUCGGAGACUACGACGUUGAUAGGUCAGGUGUGUAAGUGCUGUGAGGCAUUGAGCUAACUGAUACUAAUUGCCCGUGAGGCUUAACCAU